RNAcentral lists this long non-coding RNA (295 nucleotides) under Manihot esculenta (cassava). RNAcentral describes it as "long non-coding RNA (MESC_LNC000923)". Lineage: Eukaryota; Viridiplantae; Streptophyta; Magnoliopsida; Malpighiales; Euphorbiaceae. The record is from RNAcentral.
UAGUGCUUUCUGCAGUCUAGAGUGUAGGCAACAGCAAAUGAACCAAGAUGAGAGGAAAGAGAAGUGCUCAUUAUUAGCGUCGAAGAAAGAAGUUGUUGCAACCUCCACCACCGCACCAGAAGUCUCCACUAAAGGCGAGACAGUUGCCGCUUUAUAGAGUCACCAGUAACCAGCCCAGAGUGGAAAAUGAUUUCACCCGCUUAAUUCUAUAAAUAUAUAUAAUUUGAAGUUGUAGAAUUAUAUAUAUGUAUAUGCAAGUGGGUUUGCUUCUGCUAGCUUUUGUAUGCAAAUCAAU